AGAGUUUGAUCCUGGCUCAGGAUGAACGCUAGCUACAGGCUUAACACAUGCAAGUCGAGGGGAAACGACAUCGAAAGCUUGCUUUUGAUGGGCGUCGACCGGCGCACGGGUGAGUAACGCGUAUCCAACCUGCCCACCACUUGGGGAUAACCUUGCGAAAGUAAGACUAAUACCCAAUGACGUCUCUAGAAGACAUCUGAAAGGGAUUAAAGAUUUAUCGGUGAUGGAUGGGGAUGCGUCUGAUUAGCUUGUUGGCGGGUAACGGGCCCACCAAGGCUACGAUCGAGUAGGGGUUCUGAGAGGGAAGGUCCCCCACAUUGGAACUGAGACACGGUCCAACUCCUACGGGAGCA
Molecule: ribosomal RNA, 353 nt
Filed under: uncultured bacterium
Lineage: Bacteria
Description: bacterial SSU rRNA
Rfam family: Bacterial small subunit ribosomal RNA
Source: RNAcentral